RNAcentral lists this ribosomal RNA (402 nucleotides) under uncultured bacterium. Its description in RNAcentral is "bacterial SSU rRNA". It matches the Rfam family "Bacterial small subunit ribosomal RNA", at positions 28 to 434 of the family's 1533-position model. The record is from RNAcentral.
GACGAACGCUGGCGGCGUGCUUAACACAUGCAAGUCGAGCGGUAAGGCCUUUCGGGGUACACGAGCGGCGAACGGGUGAGUAACACGUGGGUGAUCUGCCCUGCACUUCGGGAUAAGCCUGGGAAACUGGGUCUAAUACCGGAUAUGACCUCCUAUCGCAUGGUGGGUGGUGGAAAGAUUUAUCGGUGCAGGAUGGGCCCGCGGCCUAUCAGCUUGUUGGUGGGGUAAUGGCCUACCAAGGCGACGACGGGUAGCCGACCUGAGAGGGUGACCGGCCACACUGGGACUGAGACACGGCCCAGACUCCUACGGGAGGCAGCAGUGGGGAAUAUUGCACAAUGGACGAAAGCCUGAUGCAGCGACGCCGCGUGAGGGAUGACGGCCUUCGGGUUGUAAACCUCU